RNAcentral lists this ribosomal RNA (507 nucleotides) under fungal sp. R53. RNAcentral describes it as "eukaryotic LSU rRNA". The stretch from base 164 to 317 matches the Rfam family "5.8S ribosomal RNA". Lineage: Eukaryota; Fungi. The record is from RNAcentral.
AGGGAUCAUUACAGAGUUUUCUAAACUCCCAACCCUUUGUGUAUCUACUAUUUUGUUGCCUCGGCGGGCUCUGCUCCUCGGAGCAGGCCUAAGUCCGCCGGUGGCCCAAAACUUAAACUCUUGAAUUUUUUGACAUCUGAGAGUUAUUUUUAAAAUAAGUCAAAACUUUUAACAACGGAUCUCUUGGUUCUGGCAUCGAUGAAGAACGCAGCGAAAUGCGAUAAGUAAUGUGAAUUGCAGAAUUCAGUGAAUCAUCGAAUCUUUGAACGCACGUUGCGCCCAUUAGUAUUCUAGUGGGCAUGCCUAUUCGAGCGUCAUUUCAACCCUUAAGCCUAGCUUAGUGUUAGGAGCUUACAGCAAUGUAACUCCCUAAAGUCAUUGGCAGAGCUAAAUCAACUCUCAGCGUAGUAAUUUCAUCUCGCUCUUGUAGUUGGUCUGGCGAUCGCCAUAAACCUUUAUUUUCUAAUGGUUGACCUCGGAUUAGGUAGGAAUACCCGCUGAGCUUAA